Leopardus geoffroyi (Geoffroy's cat) is the source of this 1468-nucleotide long non-coding RNA. RefSeq lists it as uncharacterized. The record is from RefSeq and is a predicted model, not a curated record. The transcript is spliced from 3 exons. Lineage: Eukaryota; Metazoa; Chordata; Mammalia; Carnivora; Felidae.
AAAGCAGCAAGUUGUUAGAUGUGAAGCAAAAAUGAGCAAAACUUGAUUCUUCUUCUUUUUUCCAGGUGACUUUGCCAACUACCAAUUUCUAUAUACUCAGGAAGGAAGUGAGCAGAAACAUCCUGCUGAGAAAACCUGGAGCUAACACAUGAUCUAUUUCAAAUAGAUCUGUGACACGCUUUUGAUAGAGAGGACUCUUGAACUUACCAUAGCCACACCAGCCUUCAGCAACCACCACUCUGAUCAGUCAGCAGCCGUCAACAUUGAGGCAAGACCUUCCACCAACAAAAAGGUUCCAACCUGGAAUUUUUUUUAGCAAUAAGAGAACUCACUAGAACUGGAUGCAUUGAUAACUCAAGAACAUCCUCAAGUAGAAUUUGUUACUUGUAAGUUAGGAAUAUAUUAGGCUCCAAAUACCAACAACAAAACCUUGGAUCAUCGCAGUUUAAAAGGGAGGAUCAUUCACUUACUUAUGUCCGUCCAUACUCUCAAAGAUGAAGAUAUAUUCUCUUCACUACUGCACUAUGCUGUGGAGGCGCCAUGUUGCUUCACAUCCACAAGAGAGCUGAAAAAGGAAAGAAGAGCUAUGACCCCCACGUGUAAUAUAUCAAAGUGUAAUUGCUUUGGUUUAUUUGUUGAGAUUCCAUGAAUGUUUUAUUUGAUAAAAUAUUAUAGAAAAUUGUUUUAAGAAACCCUAGGCAAAAAGCUUUCUUAGAUCUUUUCCAUCAACAACAUCUUCAAUAGGCUAUGCUUUAGUAUAUUAAUUAGAGGAAAAACAAAGCUGCAUCUCUCUCACAAAUAUAAAGCUUUAGCUUAUUCUAAUUUUGUUUGACAUGAAUCCAUCCCAGGAAACAAUAGAACUGUAUCAUAUGUCAUUUGUACAUGACUUCACUUAUUUUUAGAAAUUUAUUGUUACAAGUGUCAGUGGAUUCUGAGGUAAAUUCUAUAAUUGCAAUAGAAUGUAAGAUUAAUUUCCAUACCUAGAGGAGAGAAAGAAAUAUCCAAAGGAAUAGAGUCGAUUCCACCAAACAUAGGUAAAAUGGUUAAGAUGUCCAAGGCUUCAUAGAUAUGUGAUUAUAUAAUACAUGUGCCAAGAAUGGAAAAAAUAUAUUCAUAUAUAAGACUAGAACCCAUAAAAUUAGCAAAAUAUCUAAUAUAACACAAAAUAUAAGAAUGAGAGAACUUAGAUUGGGAGCAAAUAAAGACAUACUUUAUGCAAAUAGGUAGAAAAUUAAGUCAAAAUGAAAGUCUUUAAGCACUGAAAUAUUAUAGAAGUGAUAGAAGUCCAAACUCUCCAUAAGCUUAUAAUAGACCUGUAACAGACAACAAAGGGAUUUUUUUUUUUUUUACAUUACUCUAAAAAUGUUAAUUCAUAGUAUAUGUUGUUAGUUACUGGUCUCUUCUAGAAAAAUUCCUUUGUACUAUUGUCUCCCACUCUAAAAAGCCUAUUGUGGUUAAGAGACACAAG